RNAcentral lists this ribosomal RNA (253 nucleotides) under uncultured bacterium. Its description in RNAcentral is "partial 16S ribosomal RNA". It matches the Rfam family "Bacterial small subunit ribosomal RNA", at positions 524 to 776 of the family's 1533-position model. The record is from RNAcentral.
UACGAAGGGGGCUAGCGUUGUUUGGAAUCACUGGGCGUAAAGGGCGCGUAGGCGGCCGAUCAAGUCGGGGGUGAAAGCCUGUGGCUCAACCACAGAAUUGCCUUCGAUACUGUUUGGCUUGAGACCGGAAGAGGUAAGUGGAACUGCGAGUGUAGAGGUGAAAUUCGUAGAUAUUCGCAAGAACACCAGUGGCGAAGGCGGCUUACUGGUCCGGUUCUGACGCUGAGGCGCGAAAGCGUGGGGAGCAAACAGG